Molecule: ribosomal RNA, 1018 nt
Filed under: Bacillus licheniformis
Lineage: Bacteria; Bacillati; Bacillota; Bacilli; Caryophanales; Bacillaceae
Description: bacterial SSU rRNA
Rfam family: Bacterial small subunit ribosomal RNA
Source: RNAcentral
GUCUAUCAUGCAAGUCGAGCGGACCGACGGGAGCUUGCUCCCUUAGGUCAGCGGCGGACGGGUGAGUAACACGUGGGUAACCUGCCUGUAAGACUGGGAUAACUCCGGGAAACCGGGGCUAAUACCGGAUGCUUGAUUGAACCGCAUGGUUCAAUCAUAAAAGGUGGCUUUUAGCUACCACUUACAGAUGGACCCGCGGCGCAUUAGCUAGUUGGUGAGGUAACGGCUCACCAAGGCGACGAUGCGUAGCCGACCUGAGAGGGUGAUCGGCCACACUGGGACUGAGACACGGCCCAGACUCCUACGGGAGGCAGCAGUAGGGAAUCUUCCGCAAUGGACGAAAGUCUGACGGAGCAACGCCGCGUGAGUGAUGAAGGUUUUCGGAUCGUAAAACUCUGUUGUUAGGGAAGAACAAGUACCGUUCGAAUAGGGCGGUACCUUGACGGUACCUAACCAGAAAGCCACGGCUAACUACGUGCCAGCAGCCGCGGUAAUACGUAGGUGGCAAGCGUUGUCCGGAAUUAUUGGGCGUAAAGCGCGCGCAGGCGGUUUCUUAAGUCUGAUGUGAAAGCCCCCGGCUCAACCGGGGAGGGUCAUUGGAAACUGGGGAACUUGAGUGCAGAAGAGGAGAGUGGAAUUCCACGUGUAGCGGUGAAAUGCGUAGAGAUGUGGAGGAACACCAGUGGCGAAGGCGACUCUCUGGUCUGUAACUGACGCUGAGGCGCGAAAGCGUGGGGAGCGAACAGGAUUAGAUACCCUGGUAGUCCACGCCGUAAACGAUGAGUGCUAAGUGUUAGAGGGUUUCCGCCCUUUAGUGCUGCAGCAAACGCAUUAAGCACUCCGCCUGGGGAGUACGGUCGCAAGACUGAAACUCAAAGGGAAUUGACGGGGGCCCGCACAAGCGGGGAGCAUGUGGUUUAAUUUCGAAGCAACGCGAAGAAUCCUUACCAGUCUUGAACAUCCUCUGACAACCCUAAGAGAAUAGGGCUUCCCCUUCGGGGGCAGAAGUUGAAAAGUU